GGGAAUGUGGCUUAGUGGUAGAGUGCUUGCCUAGCAUGCAUGAAGCUCUAGGUUCGAUUCCUCAUGACCA
Molecule: non-coding RNA, 70 nt
Organism: Dipodomys ordii (Ord's kangaroo rat)
Lineage: Eukaryota; Metazoa; Chordata; Mammalia; Rodentia; Heteromyidae
Source: Rfam